This 274-nucleotide ribosomal RNA is filed under the name uncultured bacterium. RNAcentral's name for it is "partial 16S ribosomal RNA". It matches the Rfam family "Bacterial small subunit ribosomal RNA", at positions 523 to 796 of the family's 1533-position model. The record is from RNAcentral.
CUACGUAAGGGGCGAGCGUUGUCCGGAUUCACUGGGCGUAAAGGGCGCGUAGGCGGCGAUACAAGUCAGAGGUGAAAGCUAUGGGCUCAACCCAUAAACGGCCUUUGAAACUGUAUUGCUUGAGUAUUGCAGAGGAAAGCGGAAUUCAUGGUGUAGCGGUGAAAUGCGUAGAUAUCAUGGAGAACACCUAUGGCGAAGGCAGCUUUCUGGGCAAAUACUGACGCUGAGGCGCGAAAGCUAGGGUAGCGAACAGGAUUAGAAACCCUAGUAGUCC